RNAcentral lists this ribosomal RNA (1507 nucleotides) under uncultured fungus. RNAcentral describes it as "eukaryotic LSU rRNA". The stretch from base 874 to 1507 matches the Rfam family "Eukaryotic large subunit ribosomal RNA", at positions 1 to 649 of the family's 3401-position model. Lineage: Eukaryota; Fungi. The record is from RNAcentral.
AAGUCGUAACAAGGUUUCACCACGGAGACCGUGCAUCCCCCGGGAGGUAGCGCGACUGAAAAUAACGCUCGCCGUAUGCAAGUCAGCUUGCUGGCAACACAAUCGAAUUGCGGGGACCUCCUAAAGCUUAGCCUACUCCCUGUCCCUGAAAGGGGCCAGUAUAGUAAUAAUGGCUGAGAUGCUACAAUGGACGAUCCGCAGCGAAGACCCUAAAGUGCAAGCUACGGGUAUCGUUCACAGACUAAGUGAUUGUGGGUAGUCUUCUACUUAAGAUAUAGUCGAGCCCUAACCGAGAGGAUAGGGGUUAAGCUGUCCGUAGGUGAACCUGCGGAAGGAUCAUUACUAGAGGAAAGGAGAGACCCCUACUCGGAAUUUCCGAUAGGGUCCUACAGGGCUCUCCCCGUAGGAAUCGUCGCGGUCUCGUACCCUCCUGAACUCCACCCUUGAAUAAAUUACCUUUGUUGCUUUGGCGGGCCGCCUCGUGCCAGCGGCUUCGGCUGUUGAGUGCCCGCCAGAGGACCACAACUCUUGUUUUUAGUGAUGUCUGAGUACUAUAUAAUAGUUAAAACUUUCAACAACGGAUCUCUUGGUUCUGGCAUCGAUGAAGAACGCAGCGAAAUGCGAUAAGUAAUGUGAAUUGCAGAAUUCAGUGAAUCAUCGAAUCUUUGAACGCACAUUGCGCCCUCUGGUAUUCCGGGGGGCAUGCCUGUUCGAGCGUCAUUAUACCNCNUCAAGCUNCUCGCUUGGUAUUGGGGUUCGCGGUUCCCGCGGCCCCUAAAAUCAGUGGCGGUGCCUGUCGGCUCUACGCGUAGUAAUACNCUCGCGAUUGAGUCCGGCAGGUCUACUUGCCAGCAACCCCCAAUUUUUACAGGUUGACCUCGGAUCAGGUAGGGAUACCCGCUGAACUUAAGCAUAUCAAUAAGCGGAGGAAAAGAAACCAACAGGGAUUACCUCAGUAACGGCGAGUGAAGCGGUAACAGCUCAAAUUUGAAAGCUAGCUCUUUUAGGGUUCGCAUUGUAAUUUGUAGAAGAUGCUUCGGGUGUGGCCCCGGUCUAAGUUCCUUGGAACAGGACGUCAUAGAGGGUGAGAAUCCCGUAUGUGACUGGGUGCUUUCGCUCAUGUGAAGCUCUUUCGACGAGUCGAGUUGUUUGGGAAUGCAGCUCAAAAUGGGUGGUAAAUUUCAUCUAAAGCUAAAUAUUGGCCAGAGACCGAUAGCGCACAAGUAGAGUGAUCGAAAGAUGAAAAGCACUUUGGAAAGAGAGUUAAACAGUACGUGAAAUUGUUGAAAGGGAAGCGCUUGCAACCAGACUUGCGCGCUGAUGAUCAUCCGGGCUUCUGCCCGGUGUACUCGUCUGCGCUCAGGCCAGCAUCGGUUUCGGUGGUGGGAUAAAGGCCUUGGGAAUGUGGCUCCUCUCGGGGAGUGUUAUAGCCCUCGGUGCAAUGCCGCCUACCGGGACCGAGGACCGCGCUUCGGCUAGGAUGCUGGCGUAAUGGUUGUAAGCGACC